GAAAUGCGAUAAGUAGUGUGAAUUGCAGAAUUCAGUGAAUCAUCGAAUCUUUGAACGCAUAUUGCGCCCUUUGGUAUUCCUUAGGGCAUGCCUGUUCGAGCGUCAUCUAAACCUUCAAGCCCUGCUUGGUGUUGGGUGCCUGUCCCGCCUCCGCGCGCGGACUCACCUCAAAUCCAUUGGCGGCCCCCGCGUCGGCCACGAGCGCAGCAGAAACGCGAACUCCUGAGCCCGUCCGGGCGGCUCCCAGAAGCUACACCCACCCAGUUUGACCUCGGAUCAGGUAGGGAUACCCGCUGAACUUAAGC
RNAcentral lists this unclassified non-coding RNA (305 nucleotides) under plant metagenome. Its description in RNAcentral is "partial contains 5.8S ribosomal RNA, internal transcribed spacer 2, and large subunit ribosomal RNA". The stretch from base 1 to 105 matches the Rfam family "5.8S ribosomal RNA", at positions 50 to 154 of the family's 154-position model. The record is from RNAcentral.